This 144-nucleotide small nuclear RNA is filed under the name Fukomys damarensis (Damara mole-rat). RNAcentral's name for it is "U2 spliceosomal RNA". It matches the Rfam family "U2 spliceosomal RNA". Rfam says of the family: U2 is a small nuclear RNA (snRNA) component of the spliceosome (involved in pre-mRNA splicing). Complementary binding between U2 snRNA (in an area lying towards the 5' end but 3' to hairpin I) and the branchpoint sequence (BPS) of the intron results the bulging out of an unpaired adenosine, on the BPS, which initiates a nucleophilic attack at the intronic 5' splice site, thus starting the first of two transesterification reactions that mediate splicing. Lineage: Eukaryota; Metazoa; Chordata; Mammalia; Rodentia; Bathyergidae. The record is from Rfam by way of RNAcentral.
AUCGCUUCUCGGCCUUUUGGCUAAGAUCAAGUGUAGCAUUUGUUGCUGGUUUCUAUUAAUAUCUUAUGAAGUCCGGACUUUGCCCCUUGGUGCCUUAUCCAAGAGUAGAUAGACAUCUUCUCCUGUAUCUUUUGUUCUAGAGGA